AAAACGUACUACCGAAGCUACGGCAUCAUUUAUGAUGGGUAGGAGAGCUUUCUAUACGGGUUGAAGCAUUACCGUAAGGAGAUGUGGACUGUAUAGAAGUGAGAAUGUUGGCAUGAGUAGCGAGAUGCGGGUGAGAAUCCCGCAGGCCGUAAACCCAAGGUUUCCAGGGGAAGGUUCGUCCGCCCUGGGUUAGUCAGGACCUAAGCCGAGGCCGAAAGGCGUAGGUGAUGGACAACAGGUUGAUAUUCCUGUACCACCAAUAACCGUUUGAGAAAUGGGAUGACACAGAAGGAUAAGCUAACCGCACUGUUGGUUAUGUGCGGGCAAGUAUUGAGGCAGUUCUGAUAGGCAAAUCCGUCAGAAUAAUGCUGGGGUACGAUGCGGAGCGAAAUUUAGUAGCGAAGUAGCUGAUUUCACACUGUCGAGAAAAGUCUCUAUCGAGGUUAAAGGUGCCUGUACCGCAAACCGACACAGGUGGGUGAGGAGAGUAUCCUAAGGCCAGCGAGAGAACUGUUGUUAAGGAACUCGGCAAAAUGACCCCGUAACUUAGGGAGAAGGGGUGCCUUCGAAAGAAGGCCGCAGAGAAUAGGCCCAAGCGACUGUUUACCAAAAACAUAGGUUUCUGCUAAGUCGCAAGACGAUGUAUAGGAGCUGACGCCUGCCCGGUGCUGGAAGGUUAAGGGGAUCUGUUAGGAUAACCGAAGCAGUGAACUUAAGCCCCAGUAAACGGCGGCCGUAACUAUAACGGUCCUAAGGUAGCGAAAUUCCUUGUCGGGUAAGUUCCGACCCGCACGAAAGGCGUAACGAUUUGGGCACUGUCUCAACAACAGACUGGGUGAAAUUGUAAUACCGGUGAAGAUGCCGGUUACCUGCGACAGGACGGAAAGACCCCAUGGAGCUUUACUGUAGCUUGACAUUGAGUCUCGGUGCUACAUGUACAGGAUAGGUGGGAGGCUAUGAAGCAUGGACGUCAGUCUGUGUGGAGCCAUCCUUGGGAUACCACCCUUGUAGUACUGGGAUUCUAACCAGCUGCCUUGAAUCAGGUAGUGGGACACUGUCAGGUGGACAGUUUGACUGGGGCGGUCGCCUCCUAAAAAGUAACGGAGGCGCUCAAAGGUUUCCUCAGCACGGUCGGAAAUCGUGCGAAGAGUGUAAAGGCAAAAGGAAGCUUGAUUGCAAGACAUACAGGUCGAGCAAGGACGAAAGUCGGACUUAGUGAUCCGGUGGUACCGCAUGGAAGGGCCAUCGCUCAACGGAUAAAAGCUACCCUGG
RNAcentral lists this ribosomal RNA (1272 nucleotides) under human gut metagenome. RNAcentral's name for it is "bacterial LSU rRNA". It matches the Rfam family "Bacterial large subunit ribosomal RNA", at positions 1183 to 2471 of the family's 2925-position model. The record is from RNAcentral.